CUUAAGCAAGUCCCUUCCCCUCU
This 23-nucleotide microRNA is filed under the name Sarcophilus harrisii (Tasmanian devil). Its description in RNAcentral is "Sha-Mir-12404_3p* (star (passenger))". RNAcentral also lists the same sequence under 1 other name. The record is from RNAcentral. Lineage: Eukaryota; Metazoa; Chordata; Mammalia; Dasyuromorphia; Dasyuridae.